RNAcentral lists this ribosomal RNA (586 nucleotides) under uncultured bacterium. Its description in RNAcentral is "bacterial SSU rRNA". It matches the Rfam family "Bacterial small subunit ribosomal RNA", at positions 338 to 916 of the family's 1533-position model. The record is from RNAcentral.
CCUACGGGAGGCAGCAGUGGGGAAUUUUGGACAAUGGGCGCAAGCCUGAUCCAGCAAUGCCGCGUGCAGGAUGAAGGCCUUCGGGUUGUAAACUGCUUUUGUACGGAACGAAACGGUUCGCUUUAAUACAGUGGGCUAAUGACGGUACCGUAAGAAUAAGCACCGGCUAACUACGUGCCAGCAGCCGCGGUAAUACGUAGGGUGCAAGCGUUAAUCGGAAUUACUGGGCGUAAAGCGUGCGCAGGCGGUUAUAUAAGACAGAUGUGAAAUCCCCGGGCUCAACCUGGGACCUGCAUUUGUGACUGUAUGGCUAGAGUACGGUAGAGGGGGAUGGAAUUCCGCGUGUAGCAGUGAAAUGCGUAGAUAUGCGGAGGAACACCGAUGGCGAAGGCAAUCCCCUGGACCUGUACUGACGCUCAUGCACGAAAGCGUGGGGAGCAAACAGGAUUAGAUACCCUGGUAGUCCACGCCCUAAACGAUGUCAACUGGUUGUUGGGUCUUCACUGACUCAGUAACGAAGCUAACGCGUGAAGUUGACCGCCUGGGGAGUACGGCCGCAAGGUUGAAACGUCAAAUGAAUUGACGG